AAAUUACCCGCUGAAUUUAAGCAUAUAAGUAAGUGGUGGAAAAGAAACGAGAGCGGAUUCUUCAAGUAAUGGCGAAUGAAGAAGGGAGAGCUCAUAACUAAAAGCAAAGACAACCAUCUUCGGAUGAAGUGCUUUGCAUUGUAGAGUCUUGACCUAUGACCAGUAGGGGUGUGUGUGUAAGUCUUCUGGAAAGAAGCGCUACGAAUGGUGAAAGCCCAGUCCAACACAUGCAACUCCCUACGUACGGUCUAGGAUCUUUGAGUCGUGUUCCCUGGGACGGGAGCGCUAAUUAGAUGGUGUAUUUCAUCUAAAGCUAAAUAUUUUCUCGAGUCCGAUAGCCAACAAGUACCGUGAGGGAAAGAUUACAGCAGUACUUUGAAAAGAGGGUUAAAAGAACCUGCAACCACUGUAUUACAAGCACUUGGAUCCUUCCAGUUAGUCGGCAAUGUUGUUCCGCGUUGUUGUUCUUCAAUAUCGUGGAUAUGCAUCACGCCGACUGAACUAUCAGCGCAAUUAGCGAGUCUGUCAAUUACCCAGGAUUGAACUGUUCUCUGAGCGGAUCGCCUGGUGUCGAUGACACAGACUUACGUUUUGAUUGAUGCGAGUUUUGUCGUUCAUUUUGGGCUUUCGUCUUUUGAUGGUAGUUCACGAUGCAAUGGCAUCUCGACUCUGGGAAACCAGAGUCUUCUGCGUUGAUGCGGUAGAGGUUUCGAAUGACCCGUCUUGAAACACGGACCAAGGAGUCCACACACGUGUGCGAGUACGUAUCGAUCAACGAUAUGUGCAUAGUGAAAGUGACAGUUACGAUUGAACGAUGUAUUUCGGAUCUAGUAACAACCGACUUCGCUCCACGGAAAGAGGUUUGAGUGUGAGCACACCUGUUGGGACCCGAUAGAUGGUGAACUAUAUCUGAGGAGGGUGAAGCCAGGGGAAACUCUGGUGGAAGCUCGUAGCGAUACUGACGUGCAAAUCGUUCGUCACACUUGGACAUAGGGGCGAAAGACUAAUCGAACCAUCUAGUAGCUGGUUCCCUUCGAAGUUUCCCUCAGGAUAGCUGGUGUAGAGCAGUUUCAUCAGGUAAAGCGAAUGAUUAGAGGAUUCGGGGGCGUGUUGCCUUCGACCUAUUCUCAAACUUUAAAUGGGUGGGUGAYGGAGAUUGCUUAAGCGAAUCUCCUCAUGCAGAAUGUAUACAUCUAGUGGGCCUUUUUUGGUAAGCAGAACUGGCGAUGAGGGAUGAACCUAACGGCGGUGUAAGGUGCUUAAUUGUUCGCUCAUCAGACACCAAGAAGGGUGUUGGUUCAUUUUGACAGCAGGACGGUGGUCAUGGAAGUAGAAACCCGCUUAGGAAUGUGUAACAACUCACCUGCC
This 1368-nucleotide ribosomal RNA is filed under the name Euduboscquella sp. ex Favella panamensis. RNAcentral's name for it is "LSU rRNA". It matches the Rfam family "Eukaryotic large subunit ribosomal RNA", at positions 20 to 1298 of the family's 3401-position model. The record is from RNAcentral. Lineage: Eukaryota; Dinophyceae; Syndiniales; Eudubosquellidae.